UACGAAGGGGGCUAGCGUUGCUCGGAAUCACUGGGCGUAAAGGGUGCGUAGGCGGGUCUUUAAGUCAUGGUUGAAAUCCUGGAGCUCAACUCCAGAACUGCCUUUGAUACUGAAGAUCUUGAGUUCGGGAGAGGUGAGUGGAACUGCGAGUGUAGAGGUGAAAUUCGUAGAUAUUCGCAAGAACACCAGUGGCGAAGGCGGCUCACUGGCCCGAUACUGACGCUGAGGCACGAAAGCGUGGGGAGCAAACAGG
This 253-nucleotide ribosomal RNA is filed under the name uncultured bacterium. RNAcentral's name for it is "partial 16S ribosomal RNA". It matches the Rfam family "Bacterial small subunit ribosomal RNA", at positions 524 to 776 of the family's 1533-position model. The record is from RNAcentral.